Molecule: ribosomal RNA, 393 nt
Filed under: uncultured bacterium
Lineage: Bacteria
Description: partial 16S ribosomal RNA
Rfam family: Bacterial small subunit ribosomal RNA
Source: RNAcentral
AUACGGAGGAUGCGAGCGUUAUCCGGAUUUAUUGGGUUUAAAGGGAGCGUAGGUGGGAUAUUAAGUCAGCUGUGAAAGUUUGGGGCUCAACCUUAAAAUUGCAGUUGAUACUGGUUUCCUUGAGUACGGUACAGGUGGGCGGAAUUCGUGGUGUAGCGGUGAAAUGCUUAGAUAUCACGAAGAACUCCGAUCGCGAAGGCAGCUCACCGGGCCGGAACUGACACUGAUGCUCGAAAGUGCGGGUAUCAAACAGGAUUAGAUACCCUGGUAGUCCGCACAGUAAACGAUGAAUACUCGCUGUUUGCGAUACAUUGUAAGCGGCACAGCGAAAGCGUUAAGUGAUCCACCUGGGGAGUACGCCGGCAACGGUGAAACUCAAAGGAAUUGACGGGG